AAGCCUCAUGGGCUCAGAGUAGUGAGGCCUAACAUGUUUGAGGGAAAAGUGUAUGGGACCAAGUUGAACUCUCAAUUUGUUCAAGCCUUACUAUCUAAACUCUCUAUACCUCUCAAACAUCCUCUGGUCACCGGAAAUCGCUCACCGGAGGCAGAGGAGCAACCUAAAUUGGACCAUAAUCACCACCAAACAUAUUAUGUUGCCCUUCUCUCUCUAAAUCUCAUGCUAAUCCAAUCCACAAUUCAGUGGAUUCUCCAAAUCCCAAACAUAAACCAAGAACCCUAGGUUAAAGAAAAUUAAAUUAAAUGGAGUUGGGGAGGAAUCAGAGCCCGAUAUGUUAGGGCUUUAAUGAAGAAAAAGAGGAGCUCGCCUAGGAGGAGGAAAAUGGACCCGACGUUGUAGGAAUUGAAGAAGACAAAGCUGAAAACUGAGGAGGAUCAAGGAUACUCAGGGAUGGUGGGCUUAUGAUAUUUGGUAUGGGAUGGAAAGGUUUAAAGACAUGGCUUAAGCAUGGUGGUGGCAAAGUUUGAAGACAUUAACCAAAAAUUGCAUGGAACCAAAUGGAUCAUGAAGGAAAAUCAUGGCAUGAUUGAAGAACAUCUUGAAAAGGAAAUACCAAAAUGGAUUUAGGGUUGACCAAAAAGUCAAUAGUUGACUAAAGUUAAUCGAUCAUGGUUGACCAAGUAAAACCUACCAUGCACAAUCAAUUCCAAUGCUAUUAUGUAAUUAACUUGACUCUUAAUUGCCAAAGGUCAUGCAAUUAGGUUUCUACAACUUUAAGUUCAAGAGAAUUGGUCAUCAUUAGUCAA
Molecule: long non-coding RNA, 809 nt
Organism: Lathyrus oleraceus (garden pea)
Lineage: Eukaryota; Viridiplantae; Streptophyta; Magnoliopsida; Fabales; Fabaceae
Exons: 2
Source: RefSeq, a predicted model, not a curated record